RNAcentral lists this ribosomal RNA (725 nucleotides) under Klebsiella sp. RNAcentral describes it as "bacterial SSU rRNA". It matches the Rfam family "Bacterial small subunit ribosomal RNA", at positions 23 to 739 of the family's 1533-position model. The record is from RNAcentral. Lineage: Bacteria; Pseudomonadati; Pseudomonadota; Gammaproteobacteria; Enterobacterales; Enterobacteriaceae.
CUCAGAUUGAACGCUGGCGGCAGGCCUAACACAUGCAAGUCGAGCGGUAGCACAGAGAGCUUGCUCUCGGGUGACGAGCGGCGGACGGGUGAGUAAUGUCUGGGAAACUGCCUGAUGGAGGGGGAUAACUACUGGAAACGGUAGCUAAUACCGCAUAAUGUCGCAAGACCAAAGUGGGGGACCUUCGGGCCUCAUGCCAUCAGAUGUGCCCAGAUGGGAUUAGCUAGUAGGUGGGGUAACGGCUCACCUAGGCGACGAUCCCUAGCUGGUCUGAGAGGAUGACCAGCCACACUGGAACUGAGACACGGUCCAGACUCCUACGGGAGGCAGCAGUGGGGAAUAUUGCACAAUGGGCGCAAGCCUGAUGCAGCCAUGCCGCGUGUAUGAAGAAGGCCUUCGGGUUGUAAAGCACUUUCAGCGGGGAGGAAGGCGAUAAGGUUAAUAACCUUGUCGAUUGACGUUACCCGCAGAAGAAGCACCGGCUAACUCCGUGCCAGCAGCCGCGGUAAUACGGAGGGUGCAAGCGUUAAUCGGAAUUACUGGGCGUAAAGCGCACGCAGGCGGUCUGUCAAGUCGGAUGUGAAAUCCCCGGGCUCAACCUGGGAACUGCAUUCGAAACUGGCAGGCUAGAGUCUUGUAGAGGGGGGUAGAAUUCCAGGUGUAGCGGUGAAAUGCGUAGAGAUCUGGAGGAAUACCGGUGGCGAAGGCGGCCCCCUGGACAAAGA